RNAcentral lists this ribosomal RNA (253 nucleotides) under uncultured bacterium. RNAcentral describes it as "partial 16S ribosomal RNA". It matches the Rfam family "Bacterial small subunit ribosomal RNA", at positions 524 to 776 of the family's 1533-position model. The record is from RNAcentral.
UACAGAGGUUGCAAGCGUUAUUCGGAAUUACUGGGCGUAAAGGGCGCGUAGGCGGUUGUGUAAGUCUGAUGUGAAAGCUCUGGGGUCAACUCAGGAAAUGCAUUGGAAACUACAUGGCUAGAGUGCAGGAGAGGAGAGCGGAAUUCCUGGUGUAGAGGUGAAAUUCGUAGAUAUCAGGAGGAACAUAAGAGGCGAAGGCGGCUCUCUGGACUGCUACUGACGCUGAGGCGCGAAAGCAUGGGGAGCAAACAGG